GAGUAGAUUGGUACCCUCGAAAAGCAUUGUCACCUUGGCUUUGCCGCCGUUGACAAUGUUUUCUCGGGGUAAUAAUCUGCUCUAUCACCCUCU
Molecule: small RNA, 93 nt
Filed under: Mytilus galloprovincialis (Mediterranean mussel)
Lineage: Eukaryota; Metazoa; Mollusca; Bivalvia; Mytilida; Mytilidae
Source: RNAcentral